GAAAGACAACCUCGCCAUUCGCGCCAACUACCGCGGGAUCAGCCUUCUAAGCAUAGGUUACAAGGUCAUAUCGAGCAUAUUGUGUGAAAGGCUGAAACUCACCAACCAAGCAACUG
Molecule: long non-coding RNA, 116 nt
Organism: Rhagoletis zephyria (snowberry fruit fly)
Lineage: Eukaryota; Metazoa; Arthropoda; Insecta; Diptera; Tephritidae
Source: RefSeq, a predicted model, not a curated record